GAACAGGAUGAUGGGACUUAGAGUGUCGCCUGGUAUUGCGACCGAUUUCCCCACCCCCGCCACGUGUUUGGGGAUGUUAUUGGACGCGCAUGUUUUUCAGAAUGCCAGCUUUACUGAGUGGAACCUUCUCAGAUAAACCGGUCGGGUACCCACGCAGGUUAACACACCACACAGAGGAAGUGCAGAGUCUUAUGCGACAGAGCGAAUGGAUGAGUCCUUGGAGUCUCCAAAGGGAGCACAGAGAGCUGCACACAUGUCCCAAGCCAGUGGCUACACCAGACCUGUCAAAUUCAAAAGCCUAGGGACCAGAAGCCAAGACUGUGAUUUGGAUGAAGAAAAGAAAGGAAUGAAAGAGAAAAAAAAAAAGGACUUGGCAACUGGAAGGAAAACAAAUUUGAAACACAUACACACCAACAAUGGCUGAAGAAAAAUACAAAUGUUAAAUGCAGUUCUUCUAUCUUUGUUCUUUAAAUAUAUAUUUUGGGCCAGUGAAAA
Molecule: long non-coding RNA, 495 nt
Organism: Pteropus alecto (black flying fox)
Lineage: Eukaryota; Metazoa; Chordata; Mammalia; Chiroptera; Pteropodidae
Exons: 3
Source: RefSeq, a predicted model, not a curated record